CAAAUAUACAGUUUAUUAUUUGGGCAAUUGCUUAUAUAUAUCUCUGAAAAGUUUUAGAUUUUCUUAUUUGUCCCCUCUUAGGAGGCUAAUAUAAAAGAUAAAUAUUUAACGUUCCAAGUUUUUUCAAAUAUACCCCUAGAAACAGUCUUUAUCUUUAUAAAAUUACUAUUUUGCGCUUUUAAAUAUAUUUUUCUACCGUCACCAACUUUUCUUAAGGGCAAAAGAGGUACUUUGACUUCUUCUUUUUUUUUUUAACACCGGUAGAAAUUUAAUCCGAAUUUAACCUGAGAUGGCUUAACGGGUGCUAAUAGCGGAUAUUUUUGAAUAACAAAGAAAUAUACGAAAGGUAUAUUUGAAACAAAAAAAGUAAGAAUAUAUAAGAUAUUUCAAAAGUUUUGAGAGAUAUAUAGACAAUUAUCUCUUAUUAUUUCAUUUUGGUUAAAUUACAAAAAAAAAAAAUUCUGUAAAUACCUGCUUUUUUAUUUUUUCUCUUUGAUUUUGAAAAACCUACAUUUUGCCUCCUUAAAAUUUUAAAAAUAUUUUCAGGAAGGUACGACGCAAAUGGAGAGGACAAAAUGACCAAAUUGACCUUUCUUCUUUUAUAAAAAAAUAAUUUUUUAAUAUAUUUCUAUCAUUUUAUAGAUUUAUAUAACAACUGUGGGAGAACCAUGUGCUUAAGUUGUAAGUUGCCACCGUAAUUUUGGUUAAUUACAAAAAAAAUUUCUGUAAAUACCUGCUUUUUUAUUUUUUCUCUCUGAUUUUGAAAAACCUACAUUUUGCCUCCUUAAAAUUUUAAAAAUAUUUUCAGAAAGGUACGACGCAAAUGGAGAGGACAAAAUGACCAAAUUGACCUUACUUCUUUUAUAAAAAAAUAAUUUUUUAAUAUAUUUCUAUCAUUUUAAAGGGCAUUUUCAGUAUAAAUUAUAAAAGAUAGAUGGAAUAGUGAUGAAACCCUGACGAAGGGGGGCUAAAUACAACAACUUAAAAUGUUGAGGGAGGUAAAAUAUAAAUUUUUGAAAGUUAUGGAGAAAAAGUAAAAAAAAAUAGAUGUUUAUAAGGGGAUUUUCUAUAAUUUAGCCUUUUAUUUUUAAAUUUGAGAACUUUAGAUAGAUUCAAGAGUCAUAUGUUUGUUAUUCUUAUAUAGACUACAGAAACUAAAGAUCAUGCAUAAAUACAUACAUAC
RNAcentral lists this long non-coding RNA (1183 nucleotides) under Ananas comosus (pineapple). RNAcentral describes it as "long non-coding RNA (ACOM_LNC002421)". The record is from RNAcentral. Lineage: Eukaryota; Viridiplantae; Streptophyta; Magnoliopsida; Poales; Bromeliaceae.